Long non-coding RNA from Ailuropoda melanoleuca (giant panda), 13846 nucleotides. RefSeq lists it as uncharacterized. The record is from RefSeq and is a predicted model, not a curated record. NCBI's taxonomy places the organism in Eukaryota, Metazoa, Chordata, Mammalia, Carnivora, Ursidae. The transcript has 3 exons.
CUGGGUGGAAACAGGAAGGUGUUGGUCUAGCCCAGAGGCCUCUCCAGACGCCUCCAUUUUAAAGAUUCUCUUCUGUUUGUUCACAGUGUAGCUUAGGUGACAUUUUGUCAUGUUUCUUGUCGCAUGUAUCUUGCUAACUCCACGGCCCCCUCCUUGAAGACAAGAGGAGCAUCUUGCAUCCUGCAUGACCCUUACACUUAUUGCUGGAGGAAGAUUCCAUCAUCCGAGGAGAUUAGGACACAGACGGGCGCAGAAGGAAGAUGAUGUGAAGAUACAGGGAGAGGACGGCCUUCUACAAGCCAAGGGCAGAGGCCUCAGAGGAAACCAAGCCUGCCACCACCUUUAUCUUGGACUUCUAGCCUCCAGAACCGUGAGAAUACACAUUUCGGCGGUUUGAGCCACCCAGCCCAAGGUAUCUGGUUAUGGCGGCUCCAGCACGCCAACACAGUCAUCUUACGGCUGUAUUUUAAAAUACGAGAUACAUUUCGUCAGUAUUUUAAGGAAUGAUUUGAUAAAAUUUUCGAGUUUUAGAGCAGGGUAAUCUCAGAUAUAUUCAAGAAGAAGAUAUUCAUUUACCAUUUUAAAAGUCUUAACAUAAAUCUGUUCAAAUUCAUUGAUUCUUUUCAGGAAGACUAUUUCUUCAAAGGAGAUUUUGAUAAAUGGGGCAGGUCGGUCAUGGAUUUAUGGCUCUUGGGGCUGCUUUCCCGAUUCUACACGUGAUUAGGCUGUCCUCCGUGCAGGGGGGCUGGCAGGGUGGCACGUGGGGGUCUACACAGAGAUUCUCGUCGCACUCCUCGAGUGCACACCGGGCACGCUGCUAGCUGCCCUCCCAAAGGUGAUUCCCCGAAUUCUCACAGUAGGCUUAGGGGAUAGGGAUCCCAUGGUACAUACGAGAAUAUCAGAACUUAAGGCAGUUAAAUAACUCCCCGUGGUCACUAGCUAAUCGCUAGGGAGAACAUUCCCUAGUUCUGAUAGGUCUAGACAGGUUAAGUCCCAGCUCCACUGCGUGCCGGCUGUGUGCCCUAAGCCAAGUGGAUUAACUUCUCUGUACCUCAGUUUCUUCAUUUAUAAAUGGGAACAAUACUACUACUCACCGGAUGGGGUUGUUGAAUGGAUUAAAUGAAAUAACGUAUGUGCUCGGCACAGAGCCUGGCACGUACAGAGUCCUCCAGUGUUAGCUGUUGCUACCAACGUAGGAAAUAUGCUGAGUAACUAUAACGUCCCACGUUACAUAGCAGUGUUUCCAAGUGCUUUCAGUUUUUGAGAUGAGGAAAGCAAGGCUGUGAGAUGUUGAGGGACUCCUCUGCGGCCCUCCGGUGUUUUGUUCUGAUUGGUGAACCCCACCCAUGUUUAGGAGGGCAAUCAGCUCUACUCAAAGUCCACCAAUUUAAAUGUUAAUCACCCCUAAAAGCAUCCUCACAGAAACAUCCAGAAUGGUGGUUGACCAAAUAUAUGGGUACUGUGGCCCAGCCACGUUGACAAAUAAAAGACUCACCAUCUCACCAUCACGGUGUCUUUGCCCAGCUCCAUCGAGAAUUUUCUGAGAGCUUUUGCUUGUUACUGAACUUCACCCCUAGGCCCCAGAUGCCCUGGGAAAGGGUGGAAGGGCUGUGGGAGAGGGCUGAGCCUUGAGCCCUACUCACUCCAUCUUUUCUCCUUCAGAAGAAAAGGGCUGGUAUGAAACAAUUUACUUUAUUGUAUCAGAUUGGUGGGGGUGUAGGUGAGCAUUUUUUUUUUCUUUUGUCAUUUCUUUUGAUAUAGUUGUAAUGUUUUCAUUAUACAUUAACUAUAAGCUUGCAUGCAACUUAAUGAACCAGAAGGAAAAUGUGUUUAUAAUCUUCUCUUUAAUUAUGGUACUUGUUUAAGGUUUGCUUAAGCAUUGUUCAUUUUUAAAAAAUCAGUUUUAUUGAGGCAGAACUGCGGACUUCAAAACUAGAUUUUUAUAACACUCUGUAUCUUUGUUGAAACUCAAAGCUUUCUUCUGCAUAAACGGAAAUCUCACCAUCUUGUAUGUCAGGGGAAGGACACACCUUGGAAACUGGCCUAAAGUACAGGGGCAAAAAUCAGCCUUUUAAGUGUUAAAACUAUAAAACAGAAAUCAUAAGGCAACAGUUGUGUGGCGGUAUUAAGAUUAUUAUAAUUAUUAGGUAAACUUGCUAAGGUCAGGAAAUAGAAAUUCUCCUCCAGUAAACAACGCAAAUAAUACGACUGUAGGAAUACUCAGCCGGCCAGAUAUCUAAAGCCUGCCAAAGGAAGGACUCCAAUAAAAACUAGACCCUUGUAUCUCGUCGCCCCGUGCCCCGGGAAGGCCAGACCUCAUUCUCCUCGUUGAGAUGGAGAAGUUCCAGGUUUUAUAUGGCUGCCACGUGGCAGGGAGCAGAUGAGACCCACAUGGUCUCUCUUUUACACCCCAAUUGAUCCAGCAUCUUUGUUGCGUGCCUGGGGCUUAGGCUCUGGUACUAGGGUACAGGGGUGAGUGGAGGAGAACUCUGGACAAAAAAGUAAAUUAAGGCCAUUGUUGCUAGUCAGCCCACCUCGAGGGAAAACAGAGUCAGUUCAAAAGUCGCAUUGUCUAUUUGGAGUUAGAGACUUCACAUCACAUAAAUGGGGAGGGCUGCCCAGAACUGGUAAAGGCAGAAGGAAAAAAGAGAGGAUGAGCACUUUAACACAAUUUACAGAUGACUGCUUUUCUCACCAAAAAAAAAUCUCCCAAACCUUGAGGAAUGGAAUUGGAGGGUGAAGGAAGGAGGGGUGCUGGCGACAGGCUUUCUCUCUCAGAGGAGGGAGUCACACCAUCAGAGCUGCGAAAAUGAAUCAUGUCUCUUCUAUCAAGGCUUCGCACAGAUUUUCUGGGAAACCUGUCAUUGAGGAUACACUAGAGAGGACUGUCCUUUUUGGUAGCUUAGCGUUUUCCGGAGGAGACAGAGUAAAUCGGUUGGGGGACUAAAUUGCAAAUUAAAAUAAAAAUUAAGGUGUGUCAUGUGGGCUACGUUUCCCUUUUAGGGGGGUCAGCAACGCCAGCCCCGUUGCAGGAGAACAUGUCAGACUGGUCGCAGCAGUGUGAAGGGCUAAUGGUGUGGUCCCAUCUUUCAUACUAGGAGCAGCUCUUUUCAGAAUAGCACCAAAGAGCAGCAGCCAUAGGGCAGCUCUAGGUUUACAAAACAGUCCCGCGUGUGUCGUUAUAUUUAAGCUUCCCUAAAGCAGAUUUCUGAUCCCUGUCUUCUUCAUGAUAGAGUCUAAGGCCACAGCUAAGGGCACACACUCUAACUCAAAUCCCAUGCUCUCCCGGCUUCAGCACAAGGUGGACGGACCCACUCUGUCUGUGGAGAGGGGCGGAGUUUCCUGUUGGCUCCCUGUUAAGAAGGACAGCAGCUGGGCGCCUGGGUGGCUCUAGCUCCAGCAGGGUGGGCUUCCUGCUCUGUGGGGAGCCUGCUUCUCCCCCUCCCUCUGCCCCUCCCCCAUCCCCCACCGCUCCUACUCUCUCCCUUUCUCUCUCUCUCUCUCUCUCUCUGGUUUUCUCUCUCAAAUAAAUGGAUAAAAUCUUUAAGGAAAAAAAGAGAGAGACCAUUUUGCCUGGGACUGAAGGAUUUUCCAGGAAAGGAGAGACUCCUGGGCAAAUUGAGACAACUGGUCACCUUACUUAUUGUGUUACCAGAGUCCUCAUAGGAGAGUCUUCAGAAACCACAUUGAGCGGUAAAAUUUUAGGAUGACAGUUACAUAUGCAUGGAAUUUGCAUAUAAUUUACUUCUACUCAAAGAAUAUUUGCAAGCAUUUUAAAAUUUAACAUUUUGCUAUUCUAAAAUUGUCAUUUUGACUACUUUUUCUUCCCUGUUUCUUCUUCAUUGUUGUCUCAAAUCUCCAAGGGGCGGAGGAGAUGGAAGAAGGACAGAAACAGGAAAAAAGAAAUCAGUAAAGACAGACAUUUGCUCCCAUAUUUAAAAUGUGGUCUUGGUUGCAGUAUACUGAGGACUGAUCUGUAGUAGUGAUUCUCAAACUUGAGUAUUGUACGGGUGGACAGCCCUAAGAUGGCCCCUAGUGAUUCCUGCCUCUUGGUAUUCAUGCUUUUCUGAAAUUCUCUUCCUUUGAGUGUAGUCUAGAUUGGGAUUUGUCUUGGGGAUGUCCCCCUCCCUACCUCCCAGACCCCCAGCUCUGGGGAAAGUCAGAGACCACGCGAUGAGGAGCUGAUGUUUCUAGCUAAUAGCCAACAGAGACCUAAAGCCUACUGAACGCCAUGCAGGGGGGCCUAGGAGUGGUUCCCCAGCAUUGGUGGAGUCUUGAGAUGAUCGCAGCCUGAACCAACACCUGACCGCAGCAUCACGAGAGAGCCUGAGCCAGAAACACAGAGCUAAAUCCAUCCCUAUUCUCGACCCAUACGAACUCUGAGCUAAUAAAUGCUGGUGGUUUUCAGCCUUUGUGUUGGAGGGUAAUUUGCCCAGAAGUAAUGAUAGCUAAUGCAAAUGUGCAUCAGAAUCCCCUAAAUAACAACUUGAUAAAAUCUGGACUUCUGAGACCCACCCAUGGAGAUUUUAUUCCGUAGAUGGGCCCCGAAGUCUUUGCUUUCCAUCAGCAAUCCUGGGAGAAUCAGAACUGAACAAAUUUUGCUUAAGAGCACGUCUCUAGAAUAAACACUCCCUGGGAAGGUCUGGAGGGAGGGGAGUCUGCAAGGGAGGUAUGGCUGCCAGAUAAAAUACAGGACACAUGGUUAUAUUUGAAUUUCAGAUAAAUAACAAAAGAUGUUUUCGCCUAAGUAUGCCCCCGUUCGGUAUUUGGGACGUAUUUAUACUGAAACAUUAUUUGUUAUCUGAAAUUCAAAUCUGACUGGGUAUUCUAUAUUUCUAAGGCUCAAUGCUAUCCAGAGGUAAGGCCCCACCGUAAGUGAAGGCCCAGUGGGAAACGAAGUGGUGCCUGCCUUUGGCAAAUGGCAGGAUUUUCAUCCCUGAGGGGCUGGUGAGGGGGCUGCAGGCUGACCAGCUGGGUCCUGCCCCUCUCCCGCCCCACGGGCAGGCUACAGUCCGGGGCCCCAUGGACUGCCUCAUCGGAGGGUUUGGGGGAGCUGCUCAGGAAACCCUCCCUCACAGCCUAGGGGGCUGGAGGCCCGAGAGGAGGUUGCAGGGUUAGUGGCUGGCCCCUCGGUGGCCAAGUGGUGGGGGCGACGAGGCCCUGUGCACCCAGCCCCAGGGAGAGGCUGGCCCCGCCUGUGUGGACGCCGCUGCCUGGUGGGCGCCACCCACAGUGCCGGGCUCUUGUUCCUUUGGGUGCGGUGUUAUCAGCCUUUUCCAGAGCAGUGAAUGGGUGCCAGGCGUCUCCCACACGCCUCCAGGGACUCAGCUGAGCACAGCUGCUCAUAGUAAAUGUGUGUGUUUCUUAUUCUGAGUAUGUCUGAGGCUCUGAGGAGUUCCAUGCAUUGCCGCUCUCCACCCUGUGAAGGAGAAGGAUGCUUCCAGAGACGUUCCUUAAGGGCUGAGGUCUUAAGAACUCUGGCUUUUAAUUCUUUUGUAUGUGCUUUCUCAUCACAGGGCAGAGUCUUAAUUUUGAUGUGUUUAUUUUCAGCUAUGAAAUGUCUUCAAAGAGAGAAUGAAUGAGAAUAUGAGUGAGUGUGUGAGUGUGAGUGCGUGUGAGUGUAUGGUGGAGAGAGAGAGAUGGGCUGGCAGACUGAAGUGCUCAAGGCAGGGGUGGAAGAUAAAGGCUCUGAACGUGUGCAGCUGCGGUAGUCAGGCUCGACUCUGUGUUGGAAGCAGACGCGCAAAGGGAGGUCUGGUCCCUGGUGCUCCGGCCCAGCCCUGCCCUGGGGUCUGACGCAAGCCCGCCAGAGCCCCCAGGAGGGGCGCUCCGCCGCCUCUCUCUCCCGAGUGCAACCGUGCAGGGCUGUGCAUUUUUGUGAGACAGGGAGAAGGUUUGGGAUCAAACGUGCACAAUCUCUGUCUGCUGGGGGGGCCCUUGAGGGCUCGAGGAGAACUCCUCGGGCGUGGCUUCCUAACACCGGCACGGCUGAAACAAAACCAAUUGGAAAAGUAGAAAGUGCAAGGAUGAUGCUGCCAUGUCACAGCUGGAACCUCAGGGGACUCCCACGGUUCGGUUCCAGGACCCUCACCGCACACGUGGCUGCCUCGGAGGGCGCGAGCGUCCCUUGGAUCCAGACACAGAGGAUGGUAUGGAGCGGGGAGGGGCCGGAUUCCAGGCUCCCACUUUGGCCUUCACCUUGGCCUCUCCGGGUGUCUGCAAAACGAACAGCUGCCCCGAGGUCUGCCCCUGCAGCAAGCGCAGGGAUGCAUGUGACGGACGCACUUGGCGCGUGGCACCCAGGAAAGGGGAGCGGUUAGUAUUUCACUGUGUGUGGUGGCAGUGCUGGGGUCAGCGGGGAGACAAAAAGCCCGGCUGAGACUGGGUUCAUACCUACUUAGAGUCUGUUGGACUGGAAAGAACCACUGGCCCGUUUAAUGCGGCCCCUGUGUUUAGAGAUGACAAGACUCGGGUGCAGACAGGCGAGGGUUUGCUCAGCAUCUCACAGCUGUCUCCCUCUCUGGAAUCCGCAUCCUGCCUGCACCUGAGGAGGAAGCCACCGCGGCUCGGAGCCCAGACCCUCCAGCGACACAGUUGCUAACGCGGCAACCCCAGAGCCCUGGGGGUCUGCUCAGAGCCGGCCGCCACCACCACUUCAGGCACAGCAGCCUCUCCCAAAGGAACGAAAGGGCCACACGCUCAACUCCUGAGAGAACCAAUAAUUAAGCACAAAGGCAAGUCUGGGUUUGAAAUUAAUGACUACGGAAUUCUGACAUGAUUUUGAGAUAAAACGAAUCGUUUACACUAAGGUGCAUCGCAGACGCAGCGUUGCUCAGGAAAAACUGCUCUGUUGAACGUAGGAGACAACGAUCCUGUCUGUUCUUUUAAUUCAUGGCCUCAGGGAGCUUGGAGAGGGGAGAGGCAGUGAGGGUUUUGAAGCUUUCAAUGCUUACUGGGCAGAAAUAGGACUUUCUCUGAAACAGGUUAGCUUUUAAGGAUGUGGCAUUGAGUACUUGGUAUGUGUUUUUCUUGUAUUUAUAUGUUUAAUCUUCAUGAUAGUCUUAGGAGAUAGGUGCCAGAAUUAUCCCAUUUUACAGAUGAGAAAACUAAGACCAAAGAGUAACUUAUUCAAGAUCAAAUAGCUAAUAAAUGGCAUCACCAGGAUUGAAUCUUAGAAUCUGGCUAGAGUCUUGCCCUUACCGACUGUGCUCUGCCACCUUGAAAGAGCCAACGUGCCAAACUUACGAGACUGGGAACUAUUGCGACAUUCCUCACAAACAUAUACUUUUCAUCCAAUUACUAGUCCAAGCUUAAGUGCAGGGGCUGAAUCUCAUGGGCCCUAAUGCCCUAGUCCAGCUGCCCUACCAUACCGCUGGUCUGGAAAUUCCCUGAAAACAUAGUGGGAUCUUUUAUAAUCUCCAGUAUCCACCCCUUACUUUAUGCUGCUGGAUGAAAACCAGGACCCAGCUCUGCUCUUCAGCCCACAAAUGCUGUAAGGAGCCAGCACCAGGCUCAGUAUUAUAGUUUUUUUUAAAAGAUACUUCCAUGAACCCGCCCCUGAGAACCCACCAAUAUCAGCUUAAAGGGAGCAGGUUGGUUCAGUGAGAACAAGGAAGGGGUGCAGGGCCUGAAAACCUAGCCCGGUGUUUUCCCUGAGGUUAUAGAGAGGCACCUAGUUUCUUAGUCCCCUCUUUCCUUUCUAUUUUGAUUCAGAGAUGAUGGUAUCAUUGCUUCUUAGGACAAGUUAGAUUAUGCGAUGAGUCCUCAGAAAUCUACAGUAAACUCGGUAGAAGUGAGGAAUACGUGGAGAAGAGGCACUUGCUGGUAAUUUAGUUUAAGUCAAUGAAUAAUUGCUCUGAUACCCUUUUUAAAAAAGAUUUAUUUAGUUAUUUGAGAGAAAGAGAGAGAGCGGGGGGGGGAAGAGAAGAGGGAAAGAGAGUCUGAAGCAGACUCUGUGCAGAGCCCGACGCAGGGCUCGACCCCACGACCCUGAGAUCACCAUCUGAGCCAAAACCAAGAAUCGGACGCCUAACUGACUGCACUGCCCCGGCGCCCCUCUGAUACCCUUUUUAUAUGUCCGGGAUAUCUGCGUACUACACACUGUGCCCGUUCCUCCGCUCCUUUGUUUUCCAUGUAACAUAACCUGUAGCACGUUCUUGAUUCAGUAUUACUGCGUAAACAUUUACCUCCUGCUUUCUCAGGACUUCAGAGAGUUUCGUUGUCUGGAUGUAUCAGAAUUUAUUUAACUAUCAUCUAUGUUAAAGAACAUCGUAACUGUGUCUCCUCUCGUGGUCUUACAAAUAAUGCUGAAAUUAUUAUUUCCACGCAUGUAUGUAUUUUUGUUUUGCCUUGGUUUUGUUCUUGUGGGGGAAAAAUUCCUAGAAGUGGAACUGCUAGGUCAGAGGAUAUUUGUAUUUAAAUUUUAAUAUUUCCAAAUCAUCCCACAAAGAGGUUGCACCAACUUGCUCUCAGUGGAAGGACUUUUAAACGCUGAGUCCAGCAGCCUUCUUAUCUGACUACAUUCUCAUACGAAAUGCAACUUUGCCGUGAAGUGUAACAGGUAAGUCAGAUGAUGAAUAUAUGAAAUGGAAUGAUGAAUAUAUGAAAUGGAAUGGAUGCAGAUGCGUUUGUCAAGAUAUUUUGAGCUGGCGAGGGGGAGGGUGGCCCCUGGAGGUGGCAAUCUCAUGGCAAAGGAGAAAAAUUGGGUGUGGUUUUCACGUCUGGCAACUGUUCUCUUGUGCGGGAUAUUUGCCAUAUCUCACUGGCACUUCCUAACUCCGUAACCCCACCCAGUGGGGGUGCUUCCGAUCCCCACCCAGGUUGGUAAAGGGAAUAUCUGUGACUCAGACUUGUACACUUUACUGAUUACAUCAGAUCAGCAUAUGGACCUCAGCUCUGUAAAAUCCACCUUUCCCUCCAAAAUGUACCCGUCAGUGUGCAUUCCUGCGUCAGGCUCGUCCACGUCUCCUGAGAAAAUAGCAAUUCCUUUGAUGUGCGCCUUCCACAAACUCCCACCUAGUCUGGAGGAUUCUGUAUGUAGGUUAUGCUGCCGUGGGACUUUCUGUCCUCACCUGAAGUUGUAGAGAAACCAGACCGGCUACAGACUGGUCAGCCGAGGAGAUGAAAGCUAUCAGCCACAGUAAGCGCUGUAGAUUAUCCGUGAACCUCCGUGUACAUACCACCCUCAUCCUUCACGACCAAGGAUGGUAAGAAGUCAAGCACAUUACUAACCAAGUUUGGAUCUGGUAUGAUUUUUCUGCAUCCUCUCAAAUAACAGUAGGUGACAGCUAGCCUCAUGUAAAAUCAUUCUUAGAUGGUAGAAAAUAAUUUCCUGCUGUGCCACGCCCAACAAAACGUGCUGAGUGUCUACCCCAUGUCCAGUCCAGGAGCAGGCACUGUGGGAAAUAUGAAAGAAAUACAGGGGCACCUCGGUAGCUCAGUCAGUUGGGAGUGUCCCCCUUCUGAAAGAAAGAAAGAAAGAAAGAAAGAAAGAAAGAAAGAAAGAAAGAAAGAAAGAAAGAAAAAGAAAUGUAAAGCAGUUGGACACAGGCCAAUCAGAGGAGGAAAGUGUCGGUGCAGAGAAGAGCCGCAAGUCAGGAGGGAGCAGGUGAAAGCUGGCCGAGAGCCGCUCUGGCGAAGGCAGGAGAGAAGCAGCCUACUUGGGAGUCACCAAAGGAGGAAUAAAUCGGGCUGAGCACCACCUGGACUGCAGAGAGCACGGGCUGCAUUCUGCUCUCUGCCUUACAGCUGUGUGGCCUGAAUCGUUCUGAGCCUCUCGUCUUCACCUGUAGAAUUAGGACAGAAAUACCGGCCCCACUUCGCUGGAUUAUUGAGAUCAGUGAGUUGGCUUACGGCACGCAGUCUGUCUCAUCAUGGGGAGUGCUCGAAAAUGUUCGCUCCCUUCCUCACUGGUCCAUCUCCGUGCCCCACCUCCCGUCUUGUGGGAAGGGAUUGCCUUUGGAGGAAAGGGGCCGAGAGGGGUGAACCGUGAUGUCUGUUUUCCAGGUGGUGCCACUGAGCAGAUGGAGAAGUUCAGGAGGGGCAACUACUCCGAAGGGGAACGUAGGGCUGGUAUGUUAUUUUGGAGUUUGAAGUGAGAGCGGGCCAGUCCUGCUGGUGGCUGGAAACCCAAGGCUGAGCGCUGGGACCUGCAGGGAAGCAGGAGUCCUGAGCUGGGAGGCCGAGGCUAUUCAAGCCACACGUGCCCCUGGACUCCUAGAAGGGGCAACAGCAGCUGUGGUGACGUGAGCAAGCCAACCUGAGGCUCGGGGCUCAGCAACAAAGACCCUAAAGGUGAAGCCGACAUCCUAUCAUUGACCAGACCGCUUGGAGAAUUAGGCACCCACCCCAGGGUCUGGCUGCUCGGUUAGGGGCUUUUAUCCGUUUCUGAGUUGACAGUGAGGAGGCUGAUGUCAGAACCCGGGGCUUCUGCCGUCAUUACUUGGCAGAGUGGGUCUGAGGGUCCCCUGGACGAACUCCUGGGAAGAGGUGAAUAUUUUCAGCUGUGUAUCUCAGACAGGUUUCCUGCCAGCGAGGGCCAGAACAAACCACAUCAUUCCAGCCACACGUACUGAGCUCCUUCCAGAGGCCAAGUGCCUGGCAUGAACAAGGCUCUGUGUGUCGAACUGGAGUUGAGAAAGGUCACGGGAAACCGAGAAACAAGCGACCAGACCUCCUCCCCUAACCACUGGUGAUAAACUGGUGGCACACUGCUGAGUCUCCAUCACACCGCCGGCUCAGAGCUACAGAACAUUCUAUCAUGUGUGUUUGGCUCAACCAUGGCUGGUUUAAGCGGUUCUUCACUGUCGGAUGUUGGAGACGUGGCCGGCCCCUCCCUCUACAGCUGCAACACACAUGCUUGUACCUGUUUUUCGUGUUUGCCAGUGUACCUUCGGGGAGGAUUCCUGGGGCACCCCCCUGCCACCGCCGCCUCCCCUGGGCCUGGCUGCAGAGCACAGCCGCCUCCCUUCCUUGCCGUGCGAGUGGACAGGCCUGGACGGCAGGAGCAGCCCCAGAAAGGCGGCCUCUUCUUCCUUUCGGCGCCCCCCACCCCCCGUCUCAUCCCAGCGCAUCCUACUGGGGCCACCCAAUUCUUCUGCAGAACUCUAGCUGUAAAGGCAUGUGGGAAGUGUAGUGUUGGGGUUUCUUGUCUCUGCACACGGGGAAGCUCCCAGAAGGGGGUUGGAAUGCCAGUCAGCACAGGGGCUCACUGACUCAAUUCCUUUGUUUUACAAAUGGGACAUCGAGGCUGGGGGCGGGGUCCGUGCUCGUGUUGCACGGUCACAUUCCGGGAACCGUGCACGGCUAACAGCCCUGGCGUUUGUUCUCUCGCUUUCACGCCCAUGCGAGCGCUUGUGAGUUCGGAGUCUCACUGAAUCCAACACCUUAGAAAGGCACAAGCCACUCCACAUGACACAAACUUCGAAUUUUCUCUAUAAAACAAAACCCCUCAUAGUCUCCUUUUGGGGGUAUUAUAACAUGUUGGUGACUGUAAUAGGCUGAAUUGUGUCCCCCCCCCCCAAAUCCAUAUGUUGAAAUCCUAACCCCCCAGCACCUCACAGUCUGAGCAAUUUGGAGCCAGGGUCUUUGAAGAGGUCAUUAAGUUCACAUGAGGUCAUGAGGGUGGACUCGAAUCCAGUGUGAGUGGUGUGUCCUAAGAAGAGGACAUUUGGACACAGGCACGGGGGGAGGAGGGGGUGAUGAGAAGACAGAGGGACGGUGGCCGCCUGUAAACCAAGGACAGAGGCCUCGGAAGAAACUAAGCCUGGCAGCACCUUCACUGCAGACUUCUGGCUUCCAGAACCGGGAGGAAAGUGCAUGUCUGUUGUCUGACCCACCCCGUCGCUGGUACUUUCUAUAGCAGCCCUAGCAAACUAAUGCAGAAAGGUCCGGUACGAAAAAACACAAACACGCACUGGUAAGAGACUAACUUGGUCUCUGUGGUAAGGUGCUUCCCUCAGUGGUUUUUGCCAUAUGCAUUCGUCCUACUGCCUUACCUCUGGAUGCUUCUGCCAAGCCAGACUCUCGCUCAGAAAGACAGUUUCUCCAUCACGCACUGUUCAGAAGUCUCUGGGGUGGUGAACUGGCUGUCGCUUGAGAUGGUCGCAGAGUCGCCACCCCCCGCGGAGGACAGCCGGAGCACCUGAGAGCUUGCACCUCAUUGGGCACUCGCUUUUUCUAACCCACCCUCUUGGGGAGCUGUGGCAAUCUUGCCCUAAAUGUGUUUUGCCCCCAUUUUCACAGGAGGUAAAUGUGGCAUGCAAAAUGCAUUUUUAAUGACUGAGAUCUGCAUUUGAGAGUAUUUUCCAUCUUUACUGGGUCAUUAAGUCUUUAAAUUCCUCAAUAUUUUAAUGAUUUUUAUAGUCCAGUGAUGUGCAGGCUUGCUCAGGUUUUCGUUCUCUGCACGCUCCCUUGCCCGUAAGAGGCUCCAGCAGGAGCUCACCAACGGGUUAUUGAACACAUGGCGCUGUUCCGGGCAGGUCCUUUCUUGGCAGCUUGUCUCUGGCACUGGCAGUCAUUAUAGCAGAAGCUCCUCUUACCCAGGCGUAGGUUCUAAAGGCAGGAAGGAUGGUCCAAAUGACCUUUGGAAAUCCUCUCGGAAGUUGCCAUGUUGGAGAUCAUGAUACCAUUUCUCAGUAAGUCCAGUAGGUCCAGCUUCCCUCCAGUGUUGGAACAGAAUAUCGUCUUUCUGUGGAACCCACGUGAAGGACUGGCCUGUGUCUGGGAGCCGUGUUAGAGCUACACAAAGCCGGGCUACUCCUUACGCAAUGAGAAGGCAGAAACCAAGACCUACUGGAAAUAGCAGACUCAUGUCCAUUCACUGAAGGGAAACGCAGGCAGAAUUUCCUGUAUUUUUUAGAGAGUGCUCCCUCUUCUCUCUCUCUCUCUGUUAAUUUUAGUUUUGCUGAACACAUUUAUAACAUGGCUCAGUACAAUAUGGCAGAGAGAGAGAGCAGUCAUUGCUUUCUCUUGGGUUCAGUGUCCUCACCUGUAAGAUGUAUGUUUUGGGGCUGAUCCUGAGGCUCCCUUCUAGACCUUCUGACAUUGGCAAGUUCAAGCUGAGGCUCUCAGCGGAGGAAGACAGGCCACCUAGGACAGCCUUAAUAACCCAGCAUUCUAGAAAAGCACCAGCCCAUUCCCCACGCUGCCUGGGAGUGUCGUAAGACAGAGUUUGGUAAAAGUAGCAAUGGGUUCUCUAGAAGAACGCCUGCUAAUUCACCCUGCUUGCCUCCAGUAACUCUUCAGUUCAGCAAACACUUUUUUUUAAAGAUUUUAUUUAUUAAUCUAUUCGAAAGAGAGAGAGAGAGCAGGAGGGAAAGGGAGAGAGAAUCUGAUGCAGAGUCCACGCUGAGCGUAGAACCCGACAUGGGGCUUGAUUCCAUGACCCUGAGAUCAUGACCUGAGCCAAGACCAGAGUCAGACACUUAACCAACUGGUCCACCCAGGCGCCCCCAGUUCAGCAAAUCUUACUGUAGCACCUGGUAAAGACAAGACAGUGUGCUCCGUAUUGGAAAGGUAAAGGCGGAUAAACUGUCCCUGACAUUGUGGAACUCCCCAUCUUGGUAUAGUUUUGAAUGUUUUAUCUUAAGUGAAAAAGCUGAGCAUUUUCUGUUUGGGGGUGCACUGAGAAAAAUGAGGGUGUAUAUCAGAAAAUCUUUUUGCCUUUAAUUAAUUUCCAAAUUCACUUCUCUUUGGGGCUGUGGAAAUCAUGAGCGCUAUUCACCAAAUAUUUCUGUUCUCCUUCAACUGAGCGCGUAGUAGGAUUAUAUUUUUCUGAGCCACCGAAUUUAAGUGUGGCUGUGUGACUUGCUCUGUCAAUGAAAUAUGAAGAGCAUGGUGGUUUUAC